GUGAACGCUGGCGGUGGGCCUAACACAUGCAAGUCGCAUGGCAGCACAGUAAGAGCUUGCUCUUACGGGUGGCGAGUGGCGGACGGGUGAGGAAUACAUCGGAAUCUACUUUUUCGUGGGGGAUAACGUAGGGAAACUUACGCUAAUACCGCAUACGACCUACGGGUGAAAGCAGGGGAUCUUCGGACCUUGCGCGAUUGAAUGAGCCGAUGUCGGAUUAGCUAGUUGGCGGGGUAAAGGCCCACCAAGGCGACGAUCCGUAGCUGGUCUGAGAGGAUGAUCAGCCACACUGGAACUGAGACACGGUCCAGACUCCUACGGGAGGCAGCAGUGGGGAAUAUUGGACAAUGGGCGCAAGCCUGAUCCAGCCAUACCGCGUGGGUGAAGAAGGCCUUCGGGUUGUAAAGCCCUUUUGUUGGGAAAGAAAAGCAGCAGGUUAAUACCCCGCUGUUCUGACGGUACCCAAAGAAUAAGCACCGGCUAACUUCGUG
Molecule: ribosomal RNA, 491 nt
Filed under: uncultured bacterium
Lineage: Bacteria
Description: partial 16S ribosomal RNA
Rfam family: Bacterial small subunit ribosomal RNA
Source: RNAcentral